RNAcentral lists this ribosomal RNA (433 nucleotides) under uncultured bacterium. Its description in RNAcentral is "partial 16S ribosomal RNA". It matches the Rfam family "Bacterial small subunit ribosomal RNA", at positions 29 to 507 of the family's 1533-position model. The record is from RNAcentral.
AGCGAACGCUGGCGGCAGGCUUAACACAUGCAAGUCGAACGGGCACUUCGGUGCUAGUGGCAGACGGGUGAGUAACACGUGGGAACGUACCUUUCGGUUCGGAAUAAUCCAGGGAAACUUGGACUAAUACCGGAUACGCCCUUCGGGGGAAAGAUUCAUCGCCGAUAGAUCGGCCCGCGUCUGAUUAGCUAGUUGGUGAGGUAAUGGCUCACCAAGGCGACGAUCAGUAGCUGGUCUGAGAGGAUGAUCAGCCACAUUGGGACUGAGACACGGCCCAAACUCCUACGGGAGGCAGCAGUGGGGAAUAUUGGACAGUGGGCGCAAGCCUGAUCCAGCCAUGCCGCGUGAGUGAUGAAGGCCUUAGGGUUGUAAAGCUCUUUUGUCCGGGAAGAUAAUGACUGUACCGGAAGAAUAAGCCCCGGCUAACUUCGUG